This is a long non-coding RNA of Armigeres subalbatus, 266 nucleotides long. RefSeq lists it as uncharacterized. NCBI's taxonomy places the organism in Eukaryota, Metazoa, Arthropoda, Insecta, Diptera, Culicidae. The record is from RefSeq and is a predicted model, not a curated record. The transcript has 3 exons.
CGACUGUAAUGCACGCAGUGGUUCAUCCCGAUCAACAAAAAAAAAGUGUUAUCAUCAUAACACCUGGUGAUAUUGAAAUCUUUAAAAAAUCAAGCUUAUGAUAAAAUAUUGCUGCUCGCUGCCUUCACUGAUUCAAGACCGUUCAGUGGCUAUCAUUGGCCAAUCACACAAACGGGAGGUUUAUAUUUAUAUUAAACUUUGAUCCACCUAUGCAAGGAAAAAUAAGCCAUUGGAGAUAAAUCGAACCCCCUUCUCUAGUAGCAGCA